CGCGUAGGCGGGCCGCAUAGUCAGGGGUGAAAGCCUCCAGCUCAACUGGAGAAGUGCCUUUGAUACUGGCGGCCUCGAGGGGUGCAGGGGCGUGCGGAACUUAGGGUGGAGCGGUGAAAUGCGUAGAUAUCCUAAGGAACACCGGUGGCGAAGGCGGCACGCUGGACACCUUCUGACGCUGAGGCGCGAAAGCCAGGGAGCAAACG
RNAcentral lists this ribosomal RNA (206 nucleotides) under uncultured bacterium. RNAcentral's name for it is "partial 16S ribosomal RNA". It matches the Rfam family "Bacterial small subunit ribosomal RNA", at positions 568 to 774 of the family's 1533-position model. The record is from RNAcentral.